GGAGGAAUACCCAAGUUCGGCUGAAGGGAUCGGUCUUGAAAACCGACAGGCGGGUUAAACCGCGCGGGGGUUCGAAUCCCUCUUCCUCCGCCA
RNAcentral lists this transfer RNA (93 nucleotides) under Anaerobacillus arseniciselenatis. RNAcentral's name for it is "tRNA-Ser". It matches the Rfam family "tRNA". Rfam says of the family: Transfer RNA (tRNA) molecules are approximately 80 nucleotides in length. Lineage: Bacteria; Bacillati; Bacillota; Bacilli; Caryophanales; Bacillaceae. RNAcentral also lists the same sequence under 8 other names. The record is from RNAcentral.